This is a long non-coding RNA of Helianthus annuus (common sunflower), 405 nucleotides long. RefSeq lists it as uncharacterized. The transcript is spliced from 3 exons. Lineage: Eukaryota; Viridiplantae; Streptophyta; Magnoliopsida; Asterales; Asteraceae. The record is from RefSeq and is a predicted model, not a curated record.
AGAGAAAGAGGGACAACGGGCAUUUUCUAGCGUUUUUGUGAUGCCGAUAGAUGGCGACAUGAGAAGGUAGUGGGGGGUCGGACAUGGUGUACAAAGACUAAUGCAUAUCACCACAACCGAACACACGAUCAGGGUCUGCAUGUCAUGGAGUCAGCGGAUAUUUAUAUCUACUAGCUCGGCUCAGUUUGAGCCUUUGGCAUACCAGACUCAGGCAGCUCAAGAGCGGAACAGUUCAUUCACAUUCUUCUUUCGAACCCCCCGAACUACCACCAACCGAGCCUCUAGCACCAAUCAGUUUUAGACAUGUCUGAUGAGGUGGAGUACCGCCGUGUUAUUGGUGGCUUGUCAUCGAUGCGAAAGUUGCUGAGAUUUGGGCGUAUGUGGUGAAUGAGGUGAAUGAGCUGG